UAGGGAAUCUUCCGCAAUGGACGCAAGUCUGACGGAGCAACGCCGCGUGAGUGAGGAAGGAUUUCGGUUCGUAAAACUCUGUUGUUAGAGAAGAACAGCGCAUAGAGUAACUGUUAUGCGUGUGACGGUAUCUAACCAGAAAGCCACGGCUAACUACGUGCCAGCAGCCGCGGUAAUACGUAGGUGGCAAGCGUUGUCCGGAUUUAUUGGGCGUAAAGCGAGCGCAGGCGGUCAAUUAAGUCUGAUGUGAAAGCCCCCGGCUCAACCGGGGAGGGUCAUUGGAAACUGGUUGACUUGAGUGCAGAAGAGGAGAGUGGAAUUCCAUGUGUAGCGGUGAAAUGCGUAGAUAUAUGGAGGAACACCAGUGGCGAAGGCGACUCUCUGGUCUGUAACUGACGCUGAGGCUCGAAAGCGUGGGUAGCAAACAGG
RNAcentral lists this ribosomal RNA (429 nucleotides) under Bacteroidota bacterium. RNAcentral's name for it is "Bacteroidetes bacterium partial 16S ribosomal RNA". It matches the Rfam family "Bacterial small subunit ribosomal RNA", at positions 355 to 776 of the family's 1533-position model. The record is from RNAcentral. Lineage: Bacteria; Pseudomonadati; Bacteroidota.